UACGGGGGGGGCAAGCGUUGUUCGGAAUUACUGGGCGUACAGGGCUCGUAGGCGGCCAACUAAGUCCGACGUGAAAUCCCCAGGCUCAACCUGGGAACUGCGUCGGAUACUGGAUGGCUUGAAUUCGGGAGAGGGAUGCAGAAUUCCAGGUGUAGCGGUGAAAUGCGUAGAUAUCUGGAGGAAUACCGGUGGCGAAGGCGGCAUCCUGGACCGACAUUGACGCUGAGGAGCGAAAGCUAGGGGAGCAAACGGG
RNAcentral lists this ribosomal RNA (253 nucleotides) under uncultured bacterium. Its description in RNAcentral is "partial 16S ribosomal RNA". It matches the Rfam family "Bacterial small subunit ribosomal RNA", at positions 524 to 776 of the family's 1533-position model. The record is from RNAcentral.